UGACUACAGGGGUAUCUAAUCCCUUUCGCUCCCCUAGCUUUCGUCCCUCAGUGUCAGUGCAGACCCAGCAAGGCGCCUUCGCCACCGAUGUUCUUCCCAAUAUCUACGCAUUUCACCGCUACACUGGGAAUUCCCCUUGCCCCUAUCGCACUCUAGCCACCCAGUUUCAAUUGCCCUCAUAGAGUUAAGCUCUACGCUUUAACAACUGACUUGGAUAACCACCUACGGACGCUUUACGCCCAAUAAUUCCGGAUAACGCUUGCCUCCUCCGUAUUACCGCGGCUGCUGGCACGGAGUUAGCCGAGGCUGAUUCGAUAGGUACCGUCAUUGUGUUCUUCCCUAUCAAAAGAGGUUUACAACCAGUAGGCCUUCCUCCCCCACGCGGUCUUGCUCCGUCAGGCUUUCGCCCAUUGCGGAAAAUUCCCCACUGCUGCCUCCCGUAGGAGUCUGGGCCGUGUCUCAGUCCCAGUGUGGCUGAUCAUCCUCUCAGACCAGCUACUGAUCGUCGCCUUGGUAGUCCCUUACACUACCAACUAGCUAAUCAGACGCGAGCUCUUCCUCAGGCCAUAUAAGUUUUACCUCUCGGCACAUCGGGUAUUAGCAGUCGUUUCCAACUGUUGUCCCCAUCCUAAGGGUAGAUUCUCACGCGUUACUCACCCGUCCG
Molecule: ribosomal RNA, 664 nt
Filed under: uncultured cyanobacterium
Lineage: Bacteria; Bacillati; Cyanobacteriota
Description: partial 16S ribosomal RNA
Source: RNAcentral